CCUACGGGUGGCUGCAGUGGGGGAUAUUGCACAAUGGGCGCAAGCCUGAUGCAGCCAUGCCGCGUGUGUGAAGAAGGCCUUCGGGUUGUAAAGCACUUUCAGCGGGGAGGAAGGCGGUGAGGUUAAUAACCUCAUCGAUUGACGUUACCCGCAGAAGAAGCACCGGCUAACUCCGUGCCAGCAGCCGCGGUAAUACGGAGGGUGCAAGCGUUAAUCGGAAUUACUGGGCGUAAAGCGCACGCAGGCGGUCUGUCAAGUCGGAUGUGAAAUCCCCGGGCUCAACCUGGGAACUGCAUUCGAAACUGGCAGGCUAGAGUCUUGUAGAGGGGGGUAGAAUUCCAGGUGUAGCGGUGAAAUGCGUAGAGAUCUGGAGGAAUACCGGUGGCGAAGGCGGCCCCCUGGACAAAGACUGACGCUCAGGUGCGAAAGCGUGGGGAGCAAACAGGAUUAGAUACCCGGGUAGUC
RNAcentral lists this ribosomal RNA (465 nucleotides) under uncultured Klebsiella sp. RNAcentral's name for it is "bacterial SSU rRNA". It matches the Rfam family "Bacterial small subunit ribosomal RNA", at positions 338 to 795 of the family's 1533-position model. Lineage: Bacteria; Pseudomonadati; Pseudomonadota; Gammaproteobacteria; Enterobacterales; Enterobacteriaceae. The record is from RNAcentral.